ACCUAAAGUUUGAAAUCUGUGCUCUUUCAAAUUUAAUUUAACAAACAUCUUUUGAUUUAUUGAUUGUUUAUGAUGUUCCAGACCAGGCAAGGGGACCUACACAGAGGAUGAAGAAUAGGACAUAUCUUCAAGGGAGGUUCUUAAUGUAGGAGCAAUUUGAAGUGGAUUCAGUUUUAUAGAUAAUAAGCAUGAGAGUAAAGAUCACAGCAGACAUUUGGUUACUAAAGAGUCUUCAGUGGAACUUGAAAGUUUUAAUCCAUCAGAUGUUAAGAAUGAGAUUGGUAUGUAUUUUUAAAAGAGUGGGGUGGAGAUCCAAAAGGAAAAAAAGAGGUCUAAUCCAAGCCAUUAGGUAUUGGAAUCCUCUCCUAUAUAAAAGCCUUUUGUUUAUAAGAGAGCUGAGAGCUUGA
RNAcentral lists this long non-coding RNA (407 nucleotides) under Vulpes vulpes (red fox). Its description in RNAcentral is "lncRNA (ENSVVUG00000012223.1)". Lineage: Eukaryota; Metazoa; Chordata; Mammalia; Carnivora; Canidae. The record is from RNAcentral.